GUGGGGAAUAUUGGGCAAUGGGCGAAAGCCUGACCCAGCAACGCCGCGUGAAGGAAGAAGGUUUUCGGAUCGUAAACUUCUAUCCUUGGUGAAGAUAAUGACGGUAGCCGAGAAGGAAGCCCCGGCUAACUACGUGCCAGCAGCCGCGGUAAUACGUAGGGGGCAAGCGUUGUCCGGAAUGAUUGGGCGUAAAGGGCGCGUAGGCGGCCUGGUAAGUCUGGAGUGAAAGUCCUGCUUUUAAGGUGGGAAUUGCUUUGGAUACUGUCGGGCUUGAGUGCAGGAGAGGUAAGUGGAAUUCCCGGUGUAGCCGUGAAAUGCGUAGAGAUCGGGAGGAACACCAGUGGCGAAGGCGACUUACUGGACUGUAACUGACGCUGAGGCGCGAAAGUGUGGGGAGCAAACAGGAUUAGAAACCCCGGUAGUCC
Molecule: ribosomal RNA, 425 nt
Filed under: uncultured bacterium
Lineage: Bacteria
Description: partial 16S ribosomal RNA
Rfam family: Bacterial small subunit ribosomal RNA
Source: RNAcentral